RNAcentral lists this ribosomal RNA (468 nucleotides) under uncultured bacterium. RNAcentral's name for it is "partial 16S ribosomal RNA". It matches the Rfam family "Bacterial small subunit ribosomal RNA", at positions 28 to 507 of the family's 1533-position model. The record is from RNAcentral.
GACGAACGCUGGCGGCGUGCUUAACACAUGCAAGUCGAACGGAAAGGCCCUGCUUUUGUGGGGUGCUCGAGUGGCGAACGGGUGAGUAACACGUGAGUAACCUCCCCUUGACUUUGGGAUAACUUCAGGAAACUGGGGCUAAUACCGGAUAGGAGCUCCUGCUGCAUGGUGGGGGUUGGAAAGUUUCGGCGGUUGGGGCUGGGCUCGCGGCUUAUCAGCUUGUUGGUGGGGUAGUGGCUUACCAAGGCUUUGACGGAUAGCCGGCCUGGGAGGGUGACCGGCGACAUUGGGACUGAGAGACGGCCCAGACGGCUACGGGAGGCAGCAGUGGGGAAUAUUGCGCAAUGGGCGGAAGCGUGAGGCAGCAACGCCGCGUGCGGGAUGACGGCCUUCGGGUGGUAAACCGCUGUCGCCUGUGACGAAGCGUGAGUGACGGUAAUGGGUAAAGAAGCACCGGCUAACUACGUG